UGCCAGCAGCCGCGGUAACACGGGGAGCGCAAGCGUUAUCCGGAUCUAUUGGGCGUAAAGAGCUCGUAGGCGGUUCGGUAAGUCGGGUGUGAAAACUCUGGGCUCAACCCAGAGAGGCCACUCGAUACUGCUGUGACUAGAGUGCGGUAGGGGAGCGGGGAAUUCCUGGUGUAGCGGUGAAAUGCGCAGAUAUCAGGAGGAACACCAGUGGCGAAGGCGCCGCUCUGGGCCGUAACUGACGCUGAGGAGCGAAAGCAUGGGUAGCAAACAGGAUUAGAUA
Molecule: ribosomal RNA, 280 nt
Filed under: uncultured bacterium
Lineage: Bacteria
Description: partial 16S ribosomal RNA
Rfam family: Bacterial small subunit ribosomal RNA
Source: RNAcentral